Non-coding RNA from Phrynosoma platyrhinos (Desert horned lizard), 73 nucleotides. The record is from the annotation of a GenBank genome assembly. NCBI's taxonomy places the organism in Eukaryota, Metazoa, Chordata, Lepidosauria, Squamata, Phrynosomatidae.
GCCAGUGUGGUGUAGUGGUUUGAGUCCUGAGACUAUGACUCUGGACAUCAGGGUUUGAUUCCCUGCUCAGCCA